AUGGCUCAGAACGAACGCUGGCGGCAGGCUUAACACAUGCAAGUCGAGCGAGGUCUUCGGACCUAGCGGCGGACGGGUGAGUAACGCGUGGGAACGUGCCCUUUGCUACGGAAUAGUCCCGGGAAACUGGGUUUAAUACCGUAUGUGCCCUACGGGGGAAAGAUUUAUCGGCAAAGGAUCGGCCCGCGUUGGAUUAGGUAGUUGGUGGGGUAAUGGCCUACCAAGCCGACGAUCCAUAGCUGGUUUGAGAGGAUGAUCAGCCACACUGGGACUGAGACACGGCCCAGACUCCUACGGGAGGCAGCAGUGGGGAAUCCAAGACAAUGGGGGCAACCCUGAUCUAGCCAUGCCGCGUGAGUGAUGAAGGCCCUAGGGUUGUAAAGCCCUUUCAGCUGGGAAGAUAAUGACGGUACCAGCAGAAGAAGCCCCGGCUAACUCCGUGCCAGCAGCCGCGGUAAUAC
Molecule: ribosomal RNA, 461 nt
Filed under: uncultured marine bacterium
Lineage: Bacteria
Description: bacterial SSU rRNA
Rfam family: Bacterial small subunit ribosomal RNA
Source: RNAcentral